RNAcentral lists this ribosomal RNA (459 nucleotides) under uncultured bacterium. RNAcentral describes it as "partial 16S ribosomal RNA". It matches the Rfam family "Bacterial small subunit ribosomal RNA", at positions 338 to 795 of the family's 1533-position model. The record is from RNAcentral.
CCUACGGGAGGCAGCAGUGAGGAAUAUUGGUCAAUGGUCGGGAGACUGAACCAGCCAAGCAGCGUGAGGGAUGAAGGUACAGAGUAUCGUAAACCUCUUUUGUCGGGGAGCAAAAGACGCCACGCGUGGCGUUCCGAGAGUACCCGAAGAACAAGCAUCGGCUAACUCCGUGCCAGCAGCCGCGGUAAUACGGAGGAUGCGGGCGUUCUCCGGAUUUAUUGGGUUUAAAGGGUUCGCAGGCGGAAGAUCAAGUCAGCGGUAAAAUUGAGAGGCUCAACCUCUGAGAGCCGUUGAAACUGGUUUUCUUGAGUGAGUGAGAGGUAGGCGGAAUGCGUGGUGUAGCGGUGAAAUGCAUAGAUAUCACGCAGAACUCCGAUUGCGAAGGCAGCAUACCGGCGCUCAACUGACGCUCAUGCACGAAAGUGUGGGUAUCGAACAGGAUUAGAUACCCGAGUAGUC